Molecule: ribosomal RNA, 810 nt
Filed under: Triticum aestivum (bread wheat)
Lineage: Eukaryota; Viridiplantae; Streptophyta; Magnoliopsida; Poales; Poaceae
Description: partial small subunit ribosomal RNA
Source: RNAcentral
AUGAAAUCUCGUAGCGAGGUUCUCUCUAUAUACAAACGAUUUGCUGCCAUGGUUCACACCCAGUUUUCCACUCCUAUACGUACUUUUCGUGCUGACUCCGCUGGCGAGUAUAUCUCCCAACUGUUGCGUGGUUUUCUCGCGGAACAGGGUACUCUUGCCCAGUUCUCUUGUCCUGGUGCUCAUGCUCAAAAUGGCGUUGCGGAACGUAAGCAUCGUCAUUUGCUUGAGACGGCUCGUGUGCUGAUGAUUGCCGCUUCCCUUCCACCCCAUUUUUGGGCUAAGGCUGUUUCUGCAUCCACCUACCUCAUCAACAUUCAGCCAUCGACUGCCCUGCAGGGUGGUAUUCCUAUGGAGUGUCUCACUGGUCGUUCUCCUGACUACUCAGCUCUUCGUAUGUUUGUAUGUGUGUGCUAUGUCCUUGCCCCGCGAGAACGCACCAAACUGAUUGCUCGGUCGGUUGAGUGUGUUUUCCUUGGCUACAGUGAUGAGCACAAGGGCUAUCGCUGUUGGGAUCCUUUUGGUCGUCGCUUGCGCAUCUCGCGUGAUGUGACCUUUGACGAGUCUCGCCUCUUACUACCCACGUCCUUCUUCCUCGAGCUUCUCUGCGGACGGUAUUUCUUUUCUUCUCCUUCCCGAGACACCCUGCUAUGUGCCUCAUGUUUCACCUCUUCCUCCUGCACCUCUCAUUCAGUCUCAUUCACCACCGACACCAUCUUCCCCAUCCUCCUCCUCCACCUCUCCACCAUCAUCUCCAGUCCGUCGCCCUCUCUCACCGUUUCCUCUCCACUAUACUCGCCGCCCUCGUACUGA